CCUACGGGAGGCAGCAGUGAGGAAUAUUGGUCAAUGGGCUUAAGCCUGAACCAGCCAAGUCGCGUGAGGGAUGAAGGUUCUAUGGAUCGUAAACCUCUUUUAUAAGGGAAUAACGUGUGGUACGUGUACUCUGUUGUAUGUACCUUAUAGAUAAGGAUCGGCUAACUCCGUGCCAGCCGCCGGGGUAAUACGGGGGAGCCGAGCGUUAUACGGAUUUAUUGGGUUUAAAGGGUGCGUAGGCGGCAUUUUAAGUCAGCGGGGAAAGUCUGUGGGUCAACCAUAGAAUUGCCGUUGAAACUGGGGGGCUUGAGUAGGUGUGAGGCAGGCGGAAUGCGUGGUGUAGCGGUGAAAUGCUUAGAUAUCACGCAGAACCCCGAUUGCGAAGGCAGCCUGCCAAGCCAUGACUGACGCUGAUGCACGAAAGCGUGGGGAUCAAACAGGAUUAGAUACCCUUGUAGUC
This 460-nucleotide ribosomal RNA is filed under the name uncultured bacterium. RNAcentral's name for it is "partial 16S ribosomal RNA". It matches the Rfam family "Bacterial small subunit ribosomal RNA", at positions 338 to 795 of the family's 1533-position model. The record is from RNAcentral.